UGCAAGUCGAGCGAACAGACGAGGAGCUUGCUCCUCUGACGUUAGCGGCGGACGGGUGAGUAACACGUGGAUAACCUACCUAUAAGACUGGGAUAACUUCGGGAAACCGGAGCUAAUACCGGAUAAUAUAUUGAACCGCAUGGUUCAAUAGUGAAAGACGGUUUUGCUGUCACUUAUAGAUGGAUCCGCGCCGCAUUAGCUAGUUGGUAAGGUAACGGCUUACCAAGGCAACGGUACGUAGCCGACCUGAGAGGGUGAUCGGCCACACUGGAACUGAGACACGGUCCAGACUCCUACGGGAGGCAGCAGUAGGGAAUCUUCCGCAAUGGGCGAAAGCCUGACGGAGCAACGCCGCGUGAGUGAUGAAGGUCUUCGGAUCGUAAAACUCUGUUAUUAGGGAAGAACAAAUGUGUAAGUAACUAUGCACGUCUUGACGGUACCUAAUCAGAAAGCCACGGCUAACUACGUGCCAGCAGCCGCGGUAAUACGUAGGUGGCAAGCGUUAUCCGGAAUUAUUGGGCGUAAAGCGCGCGUAGGCGGUUUUUUAAGUCUGAUGUGAAAGCCCACGGCUCAACCGUGGAGGGUCAUUGGAAACUGGAAAACUUGAGUGCAGAAGAGGAAAGUGGAAUUCCAUGUGUAGCGGUGAAAUGCGCAGAGAUAUGGAGGAACACCAGUGGCGAAGGCGACUUUCUGGUCUGUAAC
RNAcentral lists this ribosomal RNA (702 nucleotides) under uncultured Staphylococcus sp. RNAcentral's name for it is "bacterial SSU rRNA". It matches the Rfam family "Bacterial small subunit ribosomal RNA", at positions 56 to 740 of the family's 1533-position model. Lineage: Bacteria; Bacillati; Bacillota; Bacilli; Caryophanales; Staphylococcaceae. The record is from RNAcentral.